AUAGGCUAAACCAAAAAGGAUUUAUCUUGAUAGGGUAAAAUUAAAAGGCCUAAA
RNAcentral lists this transfer RNA (54 nucleotides) under Lardoglyphus konoi. RNAcentral describes it as "tRNA-Ile". The record is from RNAcentral. Lineage: Eukaryota; Metazoa; Arthropoda; Arachnida; Sarcoptiformes; Lardoglyphidae.